GACGAACGCUGGCGGCGUGCUUAACACAUGCAAGUCGAACGGAAAGGCCCGGCUUGCAGGGUACUCGAGUGGCGAACGGGUGAGUAACACGUGGGUGAUCUGCCCUGCACUUCGGGAUAAGCCUGGGAAACGGGGGCGAAUACCGGAGAGGAGACAUUUUUAGUGAGAUGGGUGGAAAGUUUUUUCGGGGUCGGCUGAGCGCGCGGCCUAUCCGCGUGGUGGUGGGGUAAUGGCCUACCAAGGCGGCGCCGGGUAGCCGGCCCGAGUGUGUGGACGGCCACAUUGGCACUGAGACACGGCCCCGGCUCCGACUGGAGGCAGCGGUGGGGGAGGUUGAUCAAUGGGCGCGAGCCUGAUGCAGCGACGGCGCGUGCGGGUGGACGGUCUUCGCGUUGGGGUCGCCAUUCGCUAGCGGCGGAGCUUUUUGUGACGGUACCUGGAGAAGAAGCCCCGGCUAACUACGUG
This 465-nucleotide ribosomal RNA is filed under the name uncultured bacterium. RNAcentral's name for it is "partial 16S ribosomal RNA". It matches the Rfam family "Bacterial small subunit ribosomal RNA", at positions 28 to 507 of the family's 1533-position model. The record is from RNAcentral.